Molecule: long non-coding RNA, 262 nt
Filed under: Mytilus galloprovincialis (Mediterranean mussel)
Lineage: Eukaryota; Metazoa; Mollusca; Bivalvia; Mytilida; Mytilidae
Source: RNAcentral
UGAAGAUGUGGUAUGAUUGCAAUUUGGAAAACUCUCCAAAAAACCAAAUGACAUAUAAAUUAACAGCUAUAGGUCACAAUUCUGCCUUCAAAAAUGAGUAAAACCCAUACCACAUACAUGUUACGUUAGCUAUAAAUUGGCCAAAAAAUGAAAAUUGUAAAAAAAUUCAGUCGAGAAAACAAACUGCCUAAUUCAUGUCCAAAAUAAUGAACAAAACAAAUAUGUUACACAGCAACAAACAUUAACCACUGAAUAACAGGCA